CACAGUGCCCUGAAUGCAUCUAUCUUGUCAGAUUUAGGAAGCUCAGUAGGGUUGGGUCUGGUUAGUACUUGGAUGGGAGAUAAUGAGGGAAUACCAGGUA
Molecule: ribosomal RNA, 100 nt
Filed under: Pogona vitticeps (central bearded dragon)
Lineage: Eukaryota; Metazoa; Chordata; Lepidosauria; Squamata; Agamidae
Source: RNAcentral